GGUCAGUUGAACCGGCGGGUUUGGGCGGGCGGGCCAAAAGACGGCCCGUGCCCCCCUCUAGCACUAAUCGGGUAAGGAGACAAGUAAAAAUGCAAUAGAAUUUUCUGAUGUUUGGAAUUUUUUUUAUAAAGAAAGGGGUGGGUCAAGAUGGCAUACAAAUAGCAGAAUGCAAGGGAUGUAAGAAAGAAUACAAAUGUGGUGGUAAAAAGUAUGAGACUUCUUCAUUGAGGUGCCACAAGGAUAAUUGCAAAAUGAUUAAAUUAAAUAAUGUAGGACAAAUGUUUUUUGAUCAUGAAGGGAAAAUAAGGUCAAAGAAAGUAGAUCAAAAAAUUGCACGUGACUUAUUAGUUGUUGCAGUUAUAAAACAUGAUUUACCAUUUUCAUUUAUUGAAUAUGAUGGCAUUAGAGCUUGGAUAAAAUAUGUAAAUCCCGAUGGUGCUUGCAUUUCUAUAAAUACCCUUGUUUAUGAUAUUACAAGAAUAUAUAUGAGAGAAAAAGGAAUUCAGAAGCAUGUUUUGGGUAAUAUUCAGAAUAGAGUUUGCUUAAUUUCAGAUGUGUGGACUGCAUGCAUUAGUGAGGGUUGCAUUUGUUUGACAGGAUAUUGUUGAUAAAAAUUAGAAAUUGAACAGUAAAAUUCUUAACUUUGCUAAAUUGCCUAAUCCACACUCGGGAGUUGAAUUGGUUGUAAAGUUAUUUGCAUUUUUGAAAGAAUGGGAAUUGAGAAAAAAGUGUUUUCUUUGACAUUGGAUAAUGCAUCUAGCAAUGACAAUAUGCAAGAUAUUUUUUUAAAAAAACAACUGUCUUUGCAUGAUAGUUUGUUAUGUGGUGGUGAAUUUUUUCAUAUUCGUUGUUUAGCUCACAUUUUGAAUCUCAUUGUGCAAGAAGGUUUGAAAGUAGCUCAUGAUGCUUUGCAAAAAAUCAGAGAAUUUGUCAAAUAUGUGAAGGGUUCAGAAAGUAGAAUGAAAAAAAUUUGAAAAAUGUGUGGGCGCAGUUGGCAACAUCGACACCAGUAUUGACAUGCAAUUAGAUGUAUACACCCGUUGGAAUUUGACAUAUUUGAUGUUGGAUAGUGUCAUUAAAUAUAAAAGGGCGUUCGAUUCUCUUCAAGUGAAUGAUAGAAAUUAUAAGUAUUGUCCUUCAAAUGAAGAAUGGAAAAUAGGAGAGAAAAUAAAUGAGUUCUUGGAGCCAUGCAUUUUAUGACACUACCAACUUGAUAUCGGGAUCUUCUUAUCCUACGUCAAACUUGUAUUUUAUACAAGUUUGGAAGACUGAAGUUUUAUUAAAAGAAAACUUGUCAACUGAAGAUGUGGUGAUUAGUGAUAUGUGUAGAAGGUUGAAAGAAUAUUUUGAUAAAAAUUGGAGACAAUAUAGCAUGGUACUUGCAUUUGGGGCUAUCCUUGACCCACUAAUUAAAUUAUCAAUGUUGGAAUAUUUUAAUGGAAAGGUUGAGAGUGAUUCUACUAAAUGCCAAGAUAAUGUAUCCCUUGUGAGAAAACAAAAUUAUACACACUUUUUUAGCAUUAUUCAAAUGCUAAUAAGUCAAGUCCUUCACAACCACAAUCUUCUUCUAUCAUUACACCUACAUCUACACAAGGUGGUGGAGGAAUAAAAAGUAAGGGCAAAAGAAUUUUUUAUGAAAUUAAAGCAUUUGAGAGCCAAUCAAUUAAUAGUGCGGGGAAAUCUCAAUUGGAUCUUUAUUUGGAGGAGCUAAAGCUUGAAUUUGCAUAUUAUGAAGAUUUGAAUGUAUUGAAGUAUUGGAAGAAUCAUAAGCAUAGGUUCCCUAAUUCUUGUAUUAAUGGCAGGUGAUGUCUUAGCUAUCCCAAUAACAACUGUUGCAUCUAAAUCAACCUUUUCUAUUGGUGCUCAUGUGCUCAACAAAUAUAGAAGUUGUACCCUUCCUGAAAAAGCGCAAGCUCUCAUUUGCACUUGUAAUUGGUUGCAUGGUUAUAACAUUGGUAAUGAAGAUGAGGCAAACACUAAACCAACUAUAUCCGAGUGCGGGUUCAAACAUUCUUGAACUUAUCAAUGAAGAUAGAAUGAAAGGAGGAGAUGGAGAAGAGGAAAAUUUGAAUGAUUUAAUUUAAUGAUUGAUGAAUUUUAAAUUUUUAAUGAAUUCUACUAUUGUAUGUCUUAUGACUUAAGACUUAGGAGGAAGAGAGGCAUGAAGAAUUAUGAAAUUUUUUUUUUCUUAUGGUUGAAAGACUAUUUCAUUAUUGAUGGGAAGAUGAUUUUUGUUGGAAUUUUAGAAGUUCAUUUUUCUAAUAAAUAGG
This is a long non-coding RNA of Dioscorea cayenensis subsp. rotundata (Guinea yam), 2270 nucleotides long. RefSeq lists it as uncharacterized. The transcript is spliced from 3 exons. The record is from RefSeq and is a predicted model, not a curated record. Lineage: Eukaryota; Viridiplantae; Streptophyta; Magnoliopsida; Dioscoreales; Dioscoreaceae.